Non-coding RNA from Oryctolagus cuniculus (rabbit), 22054 nucleotides. The record is from RefSeq and is a predicted model, not a curated record. NCBI's taxonomy places the organism in Eukaryota, Metazoa, Chordata, Mammalia, Lagomorpha, Leporidae.
AUCAGUUCAGGGGCGUGGAAGUGCGGGUUCCUAGUUUGCCUUCCGGCGUGAGGAAGCAAUCACUCCAAUUUGGUUCAGACAGCAAAUUCAAGUUCACUUUCUAUCAAGAAACAUGCAGAAGCACAGAAAGACUAGGUAAUUUGUUUAGAGUUUCUCAGUAGAAUAUGUAGAAAAAUACAGAAUGUAGAACAUUUGAACUCAGUCUGUCUUUGGAGUCAUAAUUUUUAAUGCCAUAGACUGCCUCUCAAAUAUUGUAAUGUAAUUAAUUUGAAAACUAAACUUAUUCAGCAAUUCUGGUUGGGAAGAGAAGCAGAAAGGCAGUAUGAUAUUGGAACAUCUAUAGAAUUGUGGAGUCAGAGAUUCUAGGUUUAAAUUUCAACUUUACUUCUGCUUGGGUUUGACUGAAUUACCUGGUGAUGUUGAACAUUAGUUUCCUGAGAAAAAAUGGUAACUGUGUGGAUAAGAACAUGAGUAUUAAAUACUUAAUUUAGUCAAUCACAUUCAUUGAGCACCUCUUAUGUUCUAGUUACUGUUCUAGGCACUCAUAAUACUGAAACUACUAAGAUUCAUGCAAGUAGCUUGCAGACUAGAAGCUGAAAGAGUCACAGUAAGAUAAAAAAGAUAGUAACUGUGCGGCACAUGGCAGAUAAGGUGCACAGAGAAUGGUUUGCUCACCUGUGUUAUCAAUCAAGGUUCUUUAGAGAAGUAGAAUCAACAGGACACUAUAUAUUAUUUGUAAAAUAGGGAAUUGACUCAUGCAAUUAUGAGUGCUGUGAAGCCCCAAAAUCUGCAGGUGGCAAGCAGGAGAGUCAACGGUGUAAGCUCCAGUCUGAGUUCAAGUCCAGUGUUCCAACUUUGAACAAUUCAAACUGCAGAUUUUUAAGGCAGAGAGCAAAUUCUUCCUUACUCAGUCUGUUUGUUUUAUUCAGUUCUUUCAACACUUUGGAUGAAGCCCUAUCACUCUGGGGAAGGCAAUCUGUACUGCAUAGUCUACCCAUUCAAAUGUUAAUGUCAUUGGAAAGCAUGUUCAAAGACAGGAGAAUAAUGUUUAGCCAAAUAUUUUGGCAUCCCAUGGCCUAGACAUCUUGGCACAUAAAAUUAAUCAUCACACCUUGAUUUGAGAAGUGGUCCGGAAAGGCUUCCCAGAGGAGGUGGUACUUAUACUGAGUCUUAUAAAAAACAAUAUGCAUGGUAUAUUAGCAUAACAUGCUAACUAUGUGCUCAUUAAAUAUUAGAUUUCUGGUGCCAAUGUUGUGGUAUAGUGGGUUAAGCUGCUAACUGCAAUGCCAACAUCCUGUAUCACCACUGGUUCAUGUCUGCGCUACUCCCACUUCCGAUCCAUCUCCCUCUAAUGGCCUGGGAAAGCAGCAAAGAUUGCCCAAGUACUUGGGCCCCUGCCAACUACAGGGGAGACCUGGAAGAAGUUCUUGACUCUUGGCUUCAGCCUGGCCCAACCUUGGCUUUUGAGGUAAUUUGGGGAGUGAACCGCAUAUGGAAGAUCUCUCUCUGCCUUUCUCUGUAACUCUGCCUUUCAAAUAAAUAAAUAAAUCUUUCAAAUAAAUAAAUAAAUAUUUGAUUUAUUUCUAUCUACUUCGAAGGUCAUAAGAACAAAUAUAACUAUCUCUUAGUAUCUGAAGGAAAUUGGUUUCAGGAUACCCAGAGGAUACCAAAACCUGCAGACUCAAGUCCCUUCUAUAGCAUGACAUAGUAUUUGCAUAUAACCUAUGCAAUUCUCCUGUGUACUUUAAACCAUCUCUAGAUUACUCACAAUCCCCAAUGCAAUAUAAAUUCUGUAUAAAUAGUUGUUAUACUAUAUUGCUCAGGUAAUAAUGAUAAGAAAAAAAUGUCUGUAUCUGAUCAGAACACAUGCAACCAUUGUAGACCUAACUAAUUUUCAGUUCAUGGUUGUGGAACCCACAGAUGUGGAGGGCUGAUGGCACAUUAUUUCUUUUGGCCCAGCAAGAGUUUUUCAGGCCAUAAAGCAUGGGAGAUUUUUUUCCCCUUUUGUGCUGAACUAAGAAAUGCUGACUCUUUUGCUGAUAGUGAGGGUCAUGGAUAUGGUUCAUUUGUAAUUGCACAACAUAAUUCCACCCCUGAAUAGAAUACUUUCUGAUGGUGUUCUAAAAUCUCCAAUUGCUUUUUACUUAUGAGGUAGAUUUACAGUGAGUUAUGUGAAAAGGUAAUUUGACCUGACAAUACACACCACCCUAAACAUUCACAGACACAGUUUUGUUUCUCCCUGGAGAAGCAGCUGUUAGAGUAGAGUGGUAAUCGCUGUAACAUGAUCAGCAUGGGGGAGAUUGAUCACACCUAGGAAAGUGACCUCUUGGAGAAUCUUUGCAAAAGGCACACCUUUCCUGUUGAUUGAUUACACAUCAGGGUGACCAUCCCUGGAUGGGAAAACUCAGUGUGGUCCUCACCUUCUGCUGGCACAUGCACUUUUUUUUGUUAGUGUUCAUGCAAGAUUGAUGUGCAGCAGCUGCAGGGUAGGGUCCCACAUAUUCAUGCCAUGAAACCUACCUAGUUUUGAAAGGAUAAAGAGAAAAGGAUUUAUUAUCCACAAAUAUAUUUACAACAGGUUCAAUACAAAAUGGUGAUUAACUUUUAAUAUGCCCACAGAGGGUGGUCUUCUUCCUGAGAAGGGGACUAAGAUGUAUUCACAGAAGAAAUGGCAUCUGCCUUCUAAUCCUGACCCUGACACAUCUCAGGAUUAGGGUUGUAAGUGUAGUUCACACUUUUCAAUUUUUAUUUCAGAUCAUUACUCUUUCAUUGCACAGAAAAUCUCUGUUUACCAAGACUCAUUCCAUUCUUCACUCCAAAUUGUGUCAUCAUCCAACUAGUUGGUUAUUUCUCAUCGUUCAGUCUGUUUCUUUACCCAGCUAUGAAUAUAUGAAUAUCUUCUGGGUACACAAGUACAACAAAUCCAUUUCAGUGUCUUUGUACCUUCACUUUCUCAACUUCAGGAUCUUUAUUUUAUUAGCUCACUUUCUAGAGCAUAUCAUCAUUUGUUCACCAGCACCUUAAACUCUUUCAGUUCUGAAGCAUUCAUUUAAAAAUUCUGUCUCUAACCCCGUAUAUCCAUCUUUUCUCAUCCUUUCUUUGUAUCUCUCUCUCUGUCACUAGAUUUUCCCCUCAAAUUCUUAGGACCUCCAAAUCCCUUAUUCUUUUAGCACCACCCCCUCACCCCUGUCCAGGGACCUGGCCCAGUCAGUUCCCUCCUGUUGUCACUUCCUGCUUUAACUAGUCUAAAUCCCAUAGUCUAUCAGCUGAAACAUUUUUGUCUUCAAAUUCCUUGUUCAGUUUUUGAGGGUUGGCCAUCUCAAAAAUCCUCAACUUCAGAUCAGUGUGAGUUUUUGGCCUGUUUUAUAUCCUGGAGACUGACCAUUACUUUAAAAAAAUCGCACAAUUUUGAAAAUUAAUACCAUCUGAUUCCCAUUAAUGCCACUUGACUUCAUAAUCACUAUCCUCAAAUGGAUAUUCCUCCUAACUGUUCUUCAAUUCUGAUAAUCAACUUUUUCAAAAUUUCUCCACUCUCAUCAAACCUCCAUACUUCUUGCCUCCCUGCUUCUUGGCAUAUAGCUUUGGCUCUGACUUUAUAAAGAAAGGGGCUGGUGUUACCAAAUAGUGGAUUAAGCUCUGACAUUGGCAUCCCAUAUUGGAGUGCCAAUUCAUGUCUCGGCUGCUCCAUUUCCCACCUUGCUCCCUGCUAAUGCAUCUGGUUAAAUCAGCAGAAAAUGUCCCAAAUACUUGGGCACUUGCCACCAACAUGGGAGAUUCAGAUGGCGUUCUGGAAUCCUGGUUUUUGCACCAGCCCAAACCAUUCAGGCCAUUUGAGGAGUGGACCAGCAGAUUGAAGAUCUCUCUAUAUAUAUAUCUAUAAUUUUGCUUUUCUAAUAAAUAAAGCAGUUCUAAAAAAAAAAGAGGAAAAUUCCCAAGAUCAAAAUUUCUUCAGAGUCCUGCCACUGAUAACUAGUUUUUCCUUGUUGCUAAAUCUCUUUGUGAGAGUGGAGCUGCAAAUCUUGUUUUAAAGCCAGUACUCCAUGGUUUCCUUAGCCUUCCCUAGCCUCAUUGUUUGCUUCUCUGAAACAUCCAAACUUACACCAGAAACGUGACUUCAUCUUUGACUCUCCACUCUUUGUUUAGUUACCACCACUAAGAUCUGUCGAUAAAACCACCUAAAUAUUUCUCAAAUUCAUCUAUUUUCCUUCAUCCUAUAGCUACUAGCUUACUGCAGUAGCUUUUUUAUAACCACACGUUUGGCCUCCACUCACUUUAAUCCAAUCUAUUUUCAUGUCUCAGCCAGAAUAGUUUUUUCAAAAUGCCAAGAUGAUCUUGUCACUCCCUAAUUAAAAUCUUUCAGUGCUCUAUAUUGCCUUUAAAAUAAAGUUCAAAGCCUGUAAGGAAGUUUGGAGGACUUCCAUUCCCCUGUAAACUCACCUCUUCUGCUUUAUUUCUCGCAGUUCCUCCCACUUCACCUUGAAAACUAAGCUGUAAAUCAAUUUGAGUUGCCACAAAUUUGACACAUCUGGUUUUACUUCUUGUUUAUUGCACUUGUUGCCUUUAUCUUUCUUUAUACUGUUCACUACUCCACUUCCAAUUUCACCUUAGACAUUAUCUCCUCUAUGGACUUUGACCCUCCUUUCAAGACUAAAUUAGGUUCCCUCUUUCUGUUGCACCUGCACUUUCUCCAUGUUUGCUUUUGCCACACGGUAUGGCGAUUAUUUACCAGUGCUCUCCUGCACUAGACAAGGAGUUCCUGAAGAGUAGAAAUUAUCUUUUUCACUGGGAUAUUCCCAGUGGCAUAAAGUAAAGGCUCAAUAAAUAUUUGUUGACAGAAGAAAUUCAACUAUCAUGGUGACACAUGUGGUGGUAUUUCUGUUUAUGGAUCGUAGAGAGGCAUAGGUGAUUAGAACUACCAGAAAUUAUGCAGUCAACCAGCAGAAAUAAAGAGGAAAUGUGUGGAUAGCUGAUUUUUUAAAUUUUAAACAUUUACUUGAGAGGGGGAGAGGCAAAGGAGAGAGAGAGAGAAAAAGAGAGAGAGAGAAACUGCCAUUUGCCACUUUAUUCCCCAUAUGCCCACAAUGGCUGAGGCUUGACAGGGGCCAAAGCCAGGAGCCAGGAAUACAUUCCGGGUCUCCUAUGAGGGUGAGAGGAACCCAAUUACUACAGCAGUCACUGCUACCUCUAGGAGCCAUACUGGGAACUGAACUCAGAAACUCUAAUGUAGAACACGGUACCUUAACUGCUGGGAUAAAUACAUACUCCAUGGUCGGUUUAUUCACUAUAGCAUGGAAGAAAACCAAGAUGUAUAAUCAUGGCAAGUUUGAAAGUCAUCUUUAUAAUUUUGUAGUUUCAAGGGCUUCAGAUAUUCUGUGAUAGCCAUAUUCAAGAUUCACCUAUUCGUUAUGAAUGGGAUGAUCCUGUACAGAAUUUUAUUUGUAUGUGGGGGUGGAGGGAGUGAGAGGGCUGAAGAGGAAGACAAGCUCUAGAUUUUGGAAACAUUUUGUGCCAUAAAAAUUUGCAGACAUCAUGCUAAGAUGUAAUAUUUUGUUUUCUUGCUAGGUGAUUAGGUUUCAUUCAACAGUGAAGCUUUAUUAGAAAUGUACUAUCACAGAUAAUUUCCAGGAGGGCAUUCUAAAUGGAUUAUUAUAUGGAAAGGGGAUUUCAAAUACUCAGCUCUGUACUUAAAACUACUGGAUAAAAUAGCAAGAAUGUAGUCAGUCUAAUGGGACCACUUAAAAUCCUGUGUUGCAAAGUGUUGCUUAAGACAACUUUUAGUUCUGUGAUAAUUCUGGGUGCACCCACUCAAUUUGCUAGUUACAGUCAGGUUGCAGGGAGGGUACUUGACACUUGAGUGGUAAUAAGGUUUAGUGUAAAUUUUAUUUAACCUUCUACCAGGUAGACCAAUUAAAAUGUUACAUCUGAAAAAGCACAUAUUCCAAUUUCUGCCUAGGGAUGUAAUUCAGCAACUUAAGUUUAGACAUGCUUUUGCUUUAUAGCCUCCAAUUAAUGGCAUCUCCUUAUUUAUUCUCUUGGGAUGGUUAGUUUUUCUCUUCAAGGCCCAUUGACAGUAUACUCCCAACUCUGGACUUGAUCCUCAAAAAUAGUCAGUAGUCACUGAAUCAAACAUUAAAGACAGGCUUUGCCUAUGUCCAAGCUUCAGCUAGCCAUUUUUUUUUUUCAAUUGUAGCAAAAAAAAAAAAAAAAUGCAAGACAGAUUGAAUCACUUUUUUAAAGGAUGAUUUUUCUUUCUGGAUAAAAACCCACACAUCAAACGGCCUAUCUAGAGAAAAAUAUUAUGGCUAUUUAUACUUUUUCUUAGUAACUAUAGCUUCCUUAGAAUUUCAGAGUAGGAUAAAAGGAAAAAAUGAACCAAUAUAACUCACAGAAUCCCAGAGAACUUUAUUAUCUUCAUGGAACGCUAGUAUUGUAAAAACAGACAAUGUGGCAAAUCUAUUGCAAAUUUUCUUCCAUAACAUGUUUCAAGGAUUUAUUUAAGCAGAUAGCUUUCUGCCAAUCUUCUAGGAGUCAGCAGAUGAUGGCCCAACUACUUGAGAUUCUACCAGCCACAUGGGAAACUCAAGUGGACUUCCUGGAACCUAGCUUUCUCCUUGUCCAGCCCUGCCUGUUGUGAGUCUUUGGGGAGUACACCAGAAAAUUGAAGAUAUCUUCUCUCUCUCUCUCUCUCUUUCUCCCUUUUGUGUGUCAUUCUGCCUUUCAAAUUUCAAGUCAAUCAAUCAGUCUUGGAAGAAAGAAAGAGAAAGGACUUGUUGCUGAACUACUGAGAGUGCUGCCAAAGGCAGACUUCAGUGAUUAGCCUUUGCAGGUGCUUCAGCUAUAGAGUUCCUUUCCAAGGUUAUGCCUUUUCCAAGACAGCUAAUAUCCAGACUGAAAGAGGUUUAUUAAAGAUUGCUAUUUCCACCCAGCAUGUGACAGAUCCCAGAGUCCUUUGUGAGGUUGGCUGUAACUGUCAUCAGUCCCACAACUUCUUUUCUUCUACAUUCGGAGGAUAAGGAUCCCAUGACAUACUCUAGUAAUUUUCCUGCAUGUUAGGGCCCAUUGCAGAACCUGCUUCCUGAAGAACUGAACCUAUACAUAUGAUCCAAUUUCAAAUGUCUCAUUAUUUAAAAUUAGUAUAAAAAUAAUGAUCAAAAGCAUAAAAGAGACUAUGUUUUUAUACCCAUUUAUCUUCACUGACAGUCUGAUUUUGCAGUCUGAUUUAUUUCAUCCCUCAUUGUUUCCAAAAAUGUAUAUUUUUAGUAUAUAAAUGUGUAUAUACAAUUUUUAUAAAAAUUACAACUUAUAUCUCCAUGUGGAAUCAAAAACAGAGUAGAAGGGUUACCAGGGGCCAGGGAGGUGGUAUAUUGGGGUAAUGUUGAUCAAAGAAUACAAAUUUGUAGUUAUAAGAUGAAUCAGUCUUGGAGAACUAAUGUACAACAUGGUGUCGGCUAUUAAUAGAUCGUGCAGUAUUUGUGCUUUUGUGUCUGGCUUAUUUCUCUUAUCUUAAUGUUUUCUAGAUUCAUUGAUGAUGUCACAAGCAACAGAUUUUCCAUGUGUUUCAAGGUAGAAUAGCAUUCCAUUGAGUAUAUGUUCUUUAUCCAUCGACAGACACUUAGAUUAUAUUCAUAUCUUGGCUACUGCAAAUAAUGCUGUGAAGAAGAUGCAAGUGUGGUGAUCUUUUUUACAUAAUGAUUUUACUUGUUUUUCUUUAGUUAUAUACCCAAAAGUGAGAUUGUUAGAUCAUAUAGUAUUUCUACUUUUAAUUUUUUGAGGAACUUUCUUACUGAAAUUGUAUACUGAUUUUAGUUGCAUCUUUCUUUAAUAUUUAGUAUAUUUUAUUUUUAUCUUCUCAUUUUUUAUUAUUCUUUUUUUGGGGGGGGUUGUGACAUGGCAUUACUAGUUUUGUAGUAUCCAGGUCAGUUGUUCUGUAGAAUGACCUUCAAUUUAGAUUUUUUUUUCUGAUACUUAAUUCAUAAAUAGUCAACAUAUAAAUGAGAGCAUCCUUUAGGGUGUAUUAUAUCAGGGGCCACAUGUUCUGUUAGCUUAUCAUGGUUUUUUUAAUUAAUUUAUUUAUUAAUUAAUUUUUUUUGACAGGCAGAGUUAGACAGUGAGAGAGAGAGAGACAGAGAGAAAGGUCUUCCUUUUUCCAUUGGUUCACCCUCCAAGUGGGCAGGAGCCAGGUGCUUCUUCCUGGUCUCCCAUGCGGGUGCAGGGCCCAAGGACCUGGGCCAUCCUCCACUGCACUCCCAGGCCACAGCAGAGAGCUGGACUGGAAGAGGAGCAACCAGGACAGAAUCCAGUGCCCCAACCAGGACUAGAACCUGGGGUGCCGGCGCUGCAGGCGGAGGAUUAGCCUAGUGAGCUAUGGCGCCGGCGAGCUUACCAUGUUUAUGAUGUUAGUGGCUAUUUGAUUUCUCCAUUGUAAAGGCUCUUUUUCAGUAAAAAAUUUUGAUGAACAUGUAUAUAGUUUAAAACUCUUUCACAUCUAAAGAAUUUUUAAAAAAUUGAUUUAUUUAUUUGAAAGGAAUUACAGAGAGAAUUACAGAAAGACAGACAGAAACAGAGAGAGAGAGAGAGAGAGAGAGAGAAUGCUUCCAUCCACUGGUUCACUCCCAAGAUGGCUACAACAGCUGGGGUUGGGCCAGGAUGAAGCCAAGUACCAAAAAUUCCAUCUAGGUCUCCUACAUGUGUGGCAUGGGCCAAAAUAAUUGAGCCAUCUUCCUCUGCUUUCUCAGGCAUAUCAGCAGGGAGCUGGAUGGGAAGUGGAGCAGCCAGGACUCGAAUUGGUGCCUGUAUGUUAUGCCAGUAUUACAGAAGUUGGCUUAACCCCCAUUGCCACUAUGCCAGCCUCUAAAUAAUGUUUUUUAAUCUUUUACUGUUUUUUUUAAGUUUUUUUUUUUUUUUUGACAGGCAGAGUGGACAGUGAGUGAGAGAGACAGAGAGAAAGGUCUUCCUUUACUGCUGGUUCACCCUCCAAUGGCCGCUGUGGCUGGCGCACUGCAGCCGGUACACCGCGCUGAUCUGAAGCCAGCAGCCAGAAUCUUUUACUUUUCAAUUUAUAUCUCCAAACUGUAGUAACUCAAAUCCCUUGACAAGAGAUAUAGUGAAAGUUAACUUUCAAAUAAGUCAUUCAUUUUCAGUUUGGAAGUGCUUGUCCUUAAUUGUACCAUCUAGUAAUCUUAUCUGGUAUUGUGGCCUUUUGUCAUUUAUGUCAUGCAUUAUCUACCCAAAAAUCCUGGGAAAUUUCUCUCAUGAGUCUGGGAAGGGAGGGAGGGAGGAAGGGAGGGAGCGGCGCCAUGGUUCAAUUGGUUAAUCCUCUGCCUGUGGCGCCAGCAUCCCAUAUGGGCACAGGGUUCUAGUCCCGGUUGCUCCUCUUCCAAUCCAGCUCUCUGCUGUGUCCCAGGAGGGCAGUGGAGGAUGACCCAGGUGCUUGGGCCCCUGCAUGGGAGACCAGGAAGAAGCACCUGGCUCCUGGCUUCGGAUCGAUGCAGCACCGGCGGUAUUAGCCAUUUGGGGAGUGAACCAAUGGAAGGAAGACCUUUUCUCUCUGUUUCUCUCUCUCACUGUCUAUAACUCUACCUGUCAAAAAUAAAAAAUUAAAAAUUAAAAAAAAAUUAAAAAAGAAAGAGAGGUCUUCCAUCCGCUGGUUCACUCCCAAAUGGCUACAAUGGCCAGAACUAGGCUGAUCUGAAGCCAGGAACCAGGAGCUUCUUCCAGGUCUCCCACGUGGGUGCAGGGGCCCAAGGACUUGGGCCAUCUCCUACUACUUUCCCAGGCCAUAGCAGAGAGCUGGUUUGGAAGAGGAGCAGCCGGGACUCAAAGCAGCAUCCAUAUGGGAUGCCAUCUCUACAGGUGGAGGAUUAACCGAUUGCACCACAGUGCAGGCCCCUCCUAAAUUUUGUCAUCUAAGAUAUUUCUUGUAUCUGUAUUUACCUCCCCCAAUUUCCAGGAAAAAUAAAGUAGAUCAGAUGAACAUCAAAUUAAGUAUUUCAGAUGGGAAAGAGUAUAAGUAAACUUCUGAGAUAAGAAGCAAUGUAACACAGAUUAUCCUAAGAUGGCCCUCUCCAAAGUUAGAAAAGUGAAGAAUGUUAUAUCAUACUGAAACUGCAAAUGAGAAAAAAAGAGGGAGGACACAAAUGAAAACAAAUUGACAUCAAGUUUCUGUGAAUGAUUCAUUUCAAUUGCAGUGAAAUAUAUCUCAUUUAAUAUUUGAAUCAGGAUGGGUUUGAAAUUUUGAUUCUUUUAUCACUGAUUCUGGACAAAUUAUGUAAGUCUCAUUUUUCUCAUAUAUUAAGUGAAAAUAAUAACAGAUAUCACAUAAUUGUAUAAGGAUUAGUAACUUUGGAUGCUCAAUUUCUAAAUUCUAAUAGAUAUUAAACAAAUGGUAUCUAUUGCUAUAGAUAUUAUUGAAUCUUUUUAUGUUCAGUACAGACAAUAUCCACAUCACACAUAAUCUGUUUAAAUUCUUGUGAAAAUUUUACAAAUUAGAAGUGUAGGGUCGGCAAGAUCAACAAGAUUAGCAACUUGCCAAGUCACAUGUUGACAAAACAUCAAAGUUGAAAUCCCAACCCAAGGCUUUUGAUUUGUAACUAGUAUUCUUCUUAUUAAUCUGUGUUUAAUUGAGAGUGAAGCAAUAGUACCAUACCUGCUUGCAAGAAAACAUUUAGCUUUAAUGUUUCUAGUAGAUGCUCAAAUAGUGGUUGCAUAGUUUGUGCAAUGCUAAUAAUAAUUAAAAGAAAAAUGUCAACCCCAAAUCAAAGAAAAUGAACCUUUUAACAUAAUUGGAACAAUGUUUCUUUUUCUUUUAACUUUUAUUUAAUAAAUAUAAAUUUCCAAAGUACAGCUUUUGGAUUACUGCGGCUUUUUCCCUCCCAUAACUUCCCUCCCACCCGCAACCCUCCCAUCUCCCGCUCCCUCUCCCAUUCCAUUCACAUCAAGAUUCAUUUUCAAUUAUCUUUAUAUACAGAAGAUCAAUUUAGUAUAUAUUAAGUAAAGAUUUCAACAGUUUGCACCCACACAGAAACACAAAGUGUAAAGUACUGUUUGAGUACUAGUCAUAACAUUAAUCCACAUUGUACAACAUGUUAAGGACAGAGAUCCUACAUGGGGAGUAAGUGCACAGUGACUCCUGUUGUUGACUUAACAAUUGACACUCUUGGUUAUGGUGUCCGUAAUCACCCUAGGCUCUUGUCAUGAGUUGCCAAGGCUAUGGAAGCCUUUUGAGUUCGCUGACUUCGAUCUUAUUUAGACAAGGUCAUAGUCAAAGUGGAAGUUCUCUCCUCCCUUCAGAGAAAGGUACCUCUUUCUUUGAUGACUCAUUCUUUCUGCUGGAAUCUCUCUUCCAGACAUCUUUCAUUUAGGUCUUUUUUUUUUUUUUCCAGAGUGUCUUGGCUUUCCAUGCCUAAAAUACUCUCAUGGGCUCUUCAGCCAUAUCAGAAUGCCUUAAGGGCUGAUUCUGAGGCCAGAGUGCUGUUUAGGACAUCUCCCAUUCUAUGAGUCUGCUGUGUAUCCUGCUUUCCAUGUUGGAUCUGGAACAAUGUUUCUUAGAAAUAAAAUAAUUAUCUCAAUAUUCCCUUAUUAAGACAUUGUCCCAAAACGUGUGUCUGAAGAUUAAGCAAUUGAUAUUUUGUCUUUUUUAAGAAACAUGAUUAUUAGAUGUUCAAACACUAUUUAUCAGGACUUCAUGUUGUUGUAGUAUAAAAUCUUCCUUUUCAUUGGCUCUAGAAGUCCUUGUUUAUGCCUAUGUUAUUAAUUCAUUAUGUGAAUGAUCAAUUAUACAUCUAUAUUAAUAUGUGAAUUAUGUGCUGGCCUGUGCCUAAAUAAAAUGGCUUGUGUGUAUAUAAUUUUUUAAUCUGUUGAAAGGUAAAUAAAUACAUAUAUAAAUAAAACAAACAUUGUGUUUCAACUAUAUGCUUUAUAUGGCAGAAAAACAGUUAUUGUCCUCAAAAAGAUUACAGAUUGUUGGCAGGAAAGAAAAAAAAAGGUACAAUAUACUAGGCUAUUUUAAUUAAAGAAGUUAAAUGGAAGCUGGUUUGUGAUAUAGGCCACAAAAAUAGCAAACUUAUCUUUUCAGAACUUCAGAGAAUGAACAAUGGCCUUAUUUCUUUUUGUCCAAAAAAGCUUAGAAAAGUAAGUGAGGAUUAUGCACCCCGAGAAAAAUUUCUAGCUCUUUGGAUCAACCCCGGUGUUCAGCAGUUGUCCUUUGGGCACUUGCCUGCUGGCAGCCACAUCUCUGAUCCUUGGAGUUGACUUCCUAUAGUCAGCACAAAGGACAUCUAGUCCAUUCCAAAACCACCUUGUCCUUAGUCCGAAGAUUUUUUUCUGUGAUAGGGCUUUUGAAAGAGUUUUUGUUGAAUUACAUGCCAUGGACAUAAUAGUGUGUACUAACUUUUUUUCUUCUUUUGUGCUAUUCUUCAUCUCUGUUGAGUUUCUCAUAGAUAGGAUAAAUGUGGAAGUGGGAUAAAAAUGCUCAUUACAAAUCAGGCUGAUGUUCAGAAGCUAUCAAGAUGUGUUCUGAUACCUUGGCAAAAGCAUUCCCUACUAUAUGACAUUUUGUCUCUAAUCAUUUGCUUCCUUAACCCAGUAGAAUCGCAGUUUUACUAGAUGCCAGCUCUGUUCCCUUCUCUGACAGGGAAACUGAGAGACAAAAUGUCUGUUUAGUGUGUUCAGCAUCACAUUGACAAUAAAAUUGGAAUUCAGAGUAAAAUCCAACAAUUUGGGAUCCAAAAAUCUUUGCUCUUUUUACUCCAACAUAUCAGUUUUAUAUUGCACCAUCCCACAUAGCAUCAGUGCCUUCUUAUCUGCUCUCCUUUCUUCUAUUCUCCUCUCCUCUUCUUCAUGUACCUUGUUUUUCAUCUCCACUAUUUUCUAUACUUUUUAGUCAAUCUUUUCUUUCUUUCCUUUUUUCUUCUUCUACUUGGAAGUUUUAACCAGACAGCCACUGGCUACCUGAAAGAAGACUACCCUAAUCAAACUGCUCUCACCUUCAUGUUUGGAUCAACAGGACUACCAAUUUCAAAGAAGUGUAUAGGAGGGCUUAUUUUCAUUGUAAAACUGUCAACCAGGAUAUGUAGACUGUCUGAACAUUUGGGCUGAACUUCAAUCACUUCUUUUACUCAGCAUUUGAUCUUCCUUAAACCUGCCAUUCAAGCUUAUGAGGGGCAAGGAUCUAGCUGCCAAGGCCCAAGCAAUCCCUUAAAGAGAGAAAUAAUAUGGGCUUUCAUAUAUAUCGACGGCUCUUGGAGAUAAUACUCAGUUUCCAAUGUUGUUUUCUGCCUGCUCCUGCCCAUUUCUGAGUGAGUCGUAUCAAAAUGAGGCCAAGUAGGAACUCUGCAUAUGAGUUUUAAUAUGUAUCUUGCAUAUGACACAGUGAUACAAGAAUAACUUUCUUGCUGGUGCCCUUAUGAUUAUAGCCUAAGAAACUUCAUCUGGGAAAGGAUUAAUAUCCAAAAUAUAUAAGGAACUCAGAAAACUCAGCUACAAAGUAGCAAUACCUCUAAUUAUAAAAUGGGCAAAAGUUCUGAGAAGAUAUUUUACAGAAGAAUAAAUGUAAAUGUUCAAUAAAUAUAUGAAAAUAUGAUCAAUAUCUCUAGUCAUUAGUGAAGUCCAAAUCAAAACCACAGUGAGGUAUCAUCUCAUUCCAGUUAGGAUAGCUGUUAUCAAAAAGUCAAAAAAUGGGGCCAGCAUUGGGUUAUAGCAGGUAAAGCCACCGCCUGUGGUACCAGCAUCCAAUCUGGGCACUGGUUCAAAACCAGUUCAAGACUGGGCUGCCCUGUUUCCAAACCAGCUCCCUGCUAAUGUGCCCAGGAAAGAGCAGCAGAUGGCUCAAGCCCUUGGGCCCCUGCACCUACGUGGGAGAUCCAGAGGAAGCUCUUGGCUCCUGGCUUUGGCCUGGCUCAGCCCCAGCCAUUGUGGCCAUUUGGGGAGUGAACAAGCAGAAGGAAGAUUUCUCUCUAGCUCUCUCUCUGUGUAAUUCUGAGUUUCAAAUAAACAAAUAAAUAAGAAAAUAACAAGUGCUGGCAAGAAUAUACAGAACAGGGAAAACAUAUUGUUGGUUGGAAUGUAAAUUAGUGCAGCCAUUAUGGAGGUUCCUCAAAAAAAAAAAAACUAUAUCUACCAUAUGACCCAGCUAUCCCUCUUCUGGAAAAAUAUCCUAAAGAAAUAAAAUCAGCAUAUGGAAAAGAUAUCUGUACUCAAAUGUUUAUUGAAGCAGUAUUCACAAUAGCCAAAAUAAAGAAUCAACCUAGAGGUCCAUCAGUGAAAGAAUAAGGAAAAUGUGGAAUAAACAUAUAAUGGAAUAUUAUUCUGCCAUAAAAAGGAUGCAACCAGUGAUUGGAAUUGGAGAUUAUUAUGUUAUGUGAAAUAAGCAGGCACAGAAAGGCAGAUACCGUAUGUUUCUCUCUCAUAUGUAGAAGUUAAAAAAUAAUUAUGAUACCUAAAUCUGAAUUAUAAUAGUAAUCACUAGUAGCUAGAAAGAAUGGGGGGAGGAGGAGAUAGAGGUUGGAUAAUGAGUGCUAAACUAGAGUUGGAUGAAUACAACAGGUCUGUUGCUUUGCAGCACAGUUGGGUGACUAUGGCUCACAAUGUCGAGUAAUAUACUGUUUAAAGACCUGGAAGAGAGAAGCUGUUAGGCUUCAAACAAAAAGAAAACAUAUGAAAAUGAAAUGGAAAGGCUUGUACCUGGUAUAUUAGGUUGAAGCUAUGUACAUGUGUUGAAAAAUUUUGUUAUACCUCUUAAAAUGUGCAAGUAUCAUCUACAAAUAUAAAAUUCUAAAAUAAAUUAUGUAUAAAGAAUAUCUAGAAAGUAGGAGAUUGAACAGAAAAUCGUAGGUACAAUAGUUCCAUUCUAUUUUCUAUUCAUUUGAUAAAACAUCUUUUUCCACCACCUAUUUUUUGUCUGUCUUUUUAAAAUAAAGCACUUGUUAAGAUUUGUAUUUGAAACUAUUUCUGGAAAUAAAUGGAGCAUGCAAUUUCUUGGGUAACAUGCAGAACAUUUAGUCUCCAUCUCUCUGGAGUUCCAGAAUCAUCCCUUUUGGAAAUUACAACUCAUCUACCCAUCUGUGCAUUUGGUCCCCAGAGACCAAAACAGAGCCAAAAAGAUAGGAAUCUUUAGGAGUUUUUAUGUUUUUGAACAUUAAAAUACUGGAUCUGAAGUCAGAAGAUUGAAGGUCUACCUUAAGUAUUCUUUGACUUUGGAAAUAAAUACUUGAUUUCUCUGCAAGAUCUUUGGCUGAAAAUUAAGAUAAUGGGAUGGGAUCAAAUGCUAAAGAAUAAUUUUAGGAAUAGUUUGUGUUUUCAGCUCCAUGAGAUGCUAAAGGGUAUGUGGUAGGCCACUUUAGUAGAUGGUAAUCACUUUCCAGUUUAUCUUUCAUCAAAUUUACCAAUAACAUCAUAAUAGAACAGAUGUCUUUGGGUAUUAAUGAAUGUUAGAUAUGAAUUGCCACAAUAAUAUGUGUUACUGUUUCCAUCCUGGUUCAUUAACUGUCAUUGAAAGUACCACAUGACUUGUGUUUUGCAUGUGCUAUGAUGUAGUCAUCCAGUAGCUUUAUUCCUUUCCCCACCAAAGGAUCCCCAAGACUACCAUUUGAAUCAGUGAAGGUGUGAAAUUCAUUUCCAGAUAUCUCUCUUUAGGAGAUAACAAGGUCAUUGGCUCUCAUCAAGAACAUAGAUGAGGAAAACAAUAUAUUGGAAUAGAGCAAGCAAGAAAGAAGCUAAUUCCCACUGCUCCCUGAAGUUUAAAUAGUUCCCCUGUGGUUUCAAGUUCAGUUCUGUUCUGCUUUUAAUUUAAAACCAUUCUCUACCAGGAAACUGAUUUUUGCUAGUCUCUUGGGUGAUUUUCUAAGACAGAUUUCACUGUAUUCUACCCUUGUGUAUGCACUUAGCUCCCAUUAGCAGUAAUGGGUGUUAUGCAUGUAUAGCUCCCAUUAACAAUAAUGGAAAUUAUGCAUGUGUAUCCAGAGGAAAGUGUGUUCCCCAGUGCUGGGAUUUUUUUUCAGGAGGAAAAAUACUCCUUUUGUAGCAUUUCGCUUUUGUUUUAGGCUGUUUAUUGUGGUGACAAUUUGUGCUGCAGAGAAUGAACAUGAUGUGAAAGACUGCCAGCCUCCCCAUGUGCGGUAGUUUUAAAAAUCUUGGCUUAUGAUUUUUUGCAUGACUAGAACAACAGUCAGGGAAAACUUGUUAAAGAAGUAAAAUAGAUUCAGAUCAUUUAAUAAAGGGUCAGGAGGGGGCUGAGUAAGUCCCUUAAAAGUAGGAAUUCUGGUAGGUAAUGUCACCUGUUUCAGAAGAAUAAACAUAAAGUAGAUUUGAACAGAUGGAGAAAAUCUUAAAAAAUAACGAAGUGCUAUUUAUGCAUACCAUAAUAACAUUCCUCCAGAUGAAUGUGUUUUAACCCAAAGAAACAAUUUCUAUCCUAAUGCACUGAUACAAAAAGAUGGGCCACAGGUGAUAUUACAAGAGCCUAUGAAUCAUAGGCAUAUUAAUUUUAGAACAAAUCAUGCAAAAAAGGAAUCUUUUACUUUAAUGUGAAAAUAAGGGCAUGAUUCAUCUUCAUUUUGAUGAGUGGCAGAAUGUACUUAACACUUAAAAUGUUUUUGGGUUGUCAAAGUGAAGGUCUAAGGAUUCAUCUCUUCUGAGAAUGCCUUUUGGGGAAUGCUCAAUAUUAUUUUUUCUCUAAAAAAUGUAACUGAUCUGGGUAAAGUCUCAGAUAUUUCCAGCACUGCUUGGGGAUAGACAAACACAUAUUCUUUGUAAAGCUUGGGCUUGUGUUAUGGGAGGGAAACACAUGAAAAGGCUUGGAGUGUUUAAGGGCAGAAGAUUCAGGGAGUGAUCCACCUGCAUUCAAAUGUUGACCUUAUAACUUGGGAAUUUAUUUUACUUCUCUGAGAUCCAGCUAUCUCAUUUGUAAAAUGAGGAUCAUAAUUCUCAUCUUCUAGUUGUUGUGAGGGUUAAAUGAGGUCUAAAAUUACGUUAGCAGGACUAUUAUUAACAACUAUUAAUAUAUGUAGGGAAAUAAAAUUUGACAAUACUAGAAAUCAAACCAUGUGUCUGGAAGAUCAUGUUGACCAGCAUCUAAUUAGCCCCAACCGGUUGUGUAUUUUAAAUACAAUCUUUAAUUUUUCAUCAUUUAGCUAUAAACAUGCCCAUCACAGCCUGAAAUUCUAUGCUACUUGGAAGGAUAAACACAAUAUUAUCAGGAAAAAAAAUUCCUGUUUUUUUCUUCCACUGCUUUAAUGAAGUUUAAAUUAUUAAAAACUUGAACUUAAAAAAAUACAGCUACAUAAGAACAUAAAUCUUUUUUGAAUAUGUUGAUAACUCAUAUCUUCUUUCCUUUGUUACCUUAACAUUGCAUUAUUGAAUUACAAGAAAUUUGCAAACAAUGAAAUUCUUUGCAAAACUUACACAGCUUCCCUCAUUAUCUUCAGGGAAUUGGUUUAGGACCCACCAUGAUACCAAAAUCUGCAAUUCUCAUUUUCCUUGUGUAAAAUGGUGCAAUAUUUGCAUAAAACCUACACACAUUUUCCUAUGUGCUUUAAAUGAUGCAUAGAUUGAUUAUAAUACCUACUAUAAUGCAAUGCUACAUAAGUAGCUGUUAUGCUUCUUGCUAUACUAUUGUACAACUAUUAUAUACUAUAAAUACUGUACAAAUAUUGUUAUUAUAUAACUGUACUAUUGUUUAGGGAAUAAUGAUAAGAAAAAUGGCAGAGAUCUGUUCAUAUUCAGGACACAAUUUAAUUUUCAGAAUAUAUUCCACUUGAAGUUGGUUGAAUCCAUUGAAGCAGAACAUGUGGAUAUGGAGGGCUGACUGUACAUAUAUUCUGCUAUUGUAUGAAAGAUAAUCAGAUAGACUGUAAAAGUGUAGAUCUUACCCAUUCACUUUGUAGAUGAACUAGUUGGUCACCAUGUAACAGUAGACAAGAAAGAGACUAUUUGUGUAGUUGCAGGCAUGAUGCUUAAUCUCCUUAAGCCUUCACUUUUUAAUUUGUAAAAUGAAAAUAGUGGUAUUUGCUUCAUCAGAAUGUUUUAAGCAUAAGUUAUAUAACACAUAAAACACGAGGUGAUAACAAGUGGUGUUUCUCUGAAGAAGCUCUUGAGAAUGGAAAGAGCAGCUUUCAAAAGUUACUGCUAUUGUAGGGUGGGGGCAACCAGCACCGCACGAGAUUUUUUAGCUCCCUGAAGAAGCAUUGGGGGAAACGGUAAAGAACGGUGAGAACAGCUCUAGAAGCUGUUAAAAUAUUUGUACGUGUUUCUGAAUAUGUAGGUUUUCCUGGGGCCAGGAAAGCUGGCUGCAGUAAGACGUGCUUUGGUGUUUGUUAGAGUAGAUUUCCCUGAUGGAGAAAGGGGAAAGCCUGCCUCCAACAGGUGUCCUUUGCUUUGUUCUAGAAGGGAUCGUGAAUUACAAUGUUAUCCUGACCAAUGGCUGCUUUAUACAGUUUCCUGUUUGGUCCCUGAUUUUUAGAAAGAUUAAUUUUUCAUCAGGAAAACUACAUUUAUUGAGUUAUAACUGGGGUCUGCAUUUUUAUGACAUGUAUUCUGUCAGUCAGAUUUUAUGAUUAAGACAGAGCUUCCACAGAGUUGAUAUAAUCUUUCUUAAAAUGUUUUAAAAAGAAGUCUCUAGAGGUUGCUUAUAGUAAAUAUUCAGUUUAUGCUUUUACUGGUUAUUAUUUAUUUUAGAACUAUUGAACAUAAUUUGUGAUCUCUAGGGAUCCAUGAGGUCAGGAUUGUUACUACUGCUUAAAGAUCUUUGCACAUAAAAUCUGUGCAGACUGAUUUCUUAUGUUGAGACAGGACCUCUGAGAAACUGGCAUUGCUUCCCCAAUAUUCUCCACCCUCUGGCAUCACCACAUUUUUCUUUUCUUUUUUUGACAGGCAGAGUUAGACAGUGAGAGAGAGAGAAACAGAGAAAAAGGUCUUCCUUCCGUUGGUUCACUCCCCAAAUGGCUGCUAUUGGCGCUGCGCCAAUCUUGAAGCCAGCAUCCGAGGUGCCAGCGCCACAGGCGGAGGAUUAGCCAAGUGAGCUGCGCUGGCUCACAUUUUUCUUUUAUAAUACUUAUUAUCAUGUGCUUCUAUUAUUUUAGUUUAUUAUGUGUCUCCAUAUAGGCAGUGGUUUUAUCUGUUGCUUUUUUUUUUUUUUGACAGAUAAAGUUUAGACAGUGAGAGAGAGACAGAGACAAAGGUCUUCCUUCUGUUGGUUCACCACCCCCAAAUGGCCACUAUGGCUGGCACUGCGCCGAUCCAAAGCCAGGAGCCAAGUGCUUCCUCCUGGUCUCCCAUGUGGGUGCAAGGGCUCAAGCACUUGGGCCAUCCUCCACUGCCUUCCCGGGCCACAGCAGAGAGCUGGACUGGAAGAGGAGCAACCAGGACUAGAACCCUGUGCCCAUAUGGGAUGCCGUUGCCACAGGCGGAGGAUUAACCCAGUGAGCUAUGGCGCCGGCCCCUUAUCAAUUGUUCUUACUGCUAUUUCGCUGUGAGAUAGAUCAUUGCCUAGCAUAUAGUAAGUGCUCAACAUCUGUGUGCUGACUGGAGUGGUUGAUGAACAAUUACCUCCUUUUAAUAGCUACUGUCCCCUAGAAAGUUGCAAUGGGAGGGAGUGGAACGAGAAGAGAUUUGUGUGGGGUUCUAACUGCAAGACCAGUAGCAUGGUACCAGGAACUCACCCAGUUUCAGUUUCUUGGAUGGUAAAAGAUAUAGGGGUGAACCCAACCUUUCCCACGACUGAUUUAGACAAGUCUUAAGUUUCUAAUUUGUGCCAGAGAUAGUAAUGCUGCCAUCACAGUGAUGCAGUAAAGACCAAACAUGAUGACAGAUGUCCUACCAUUUUGUGGAUUGCAAAUCUUAGCUGCUCCUAGUAGAUGGCAUCACUAGAAAAAAAGGAGACAUUUGGGACAUUAUCCAAAAGUUGAAUUGUGCCUCUGAAAGUAGAGUGAGCUUGGGGAAGUCUCUGAACUUUUCUAGGCUUCAAUUUCUUCACCUGGGAAAGGAGUCGGUGUCAAUGAUCCUGAACAUUCCAUGCAGCUAUGAAAGUCUGUGUCUCUAAGGAUGGCAUUUUUAUCUUCAUGUUCUUUCCUGGAGUUAAGUAUUAUGUUGGUAUUAAGUAUUAUGUUGGUGUUCCUCCCAUUUCUAUGAACAUACCAUAAAAGAGAUUUAAUGUAAGGUGUUUACCUUGUUUUCAUAUCACUAUUAAGCACUGGCCUACUUAGAGUGACAAAUUCAGUGUCUACCAGCACACAAGUUUUCAGUCUCUUUUACUACGACAGUCCAGAGUAGCUACAAGAAGCACCUUUUCCCACAUAUUUACUGUCGCUGACGUGAAGCCUAGCACAUUUGACAGAGGCGACUUGCUGUGUUCGCAGGAAGGGUGCCGAGUUAUACUGGAGUCCAGCUUUCCACAUCCACAUUAUUCUGCCUUAUAUCUUCUACCUCCCACUAAAUGUGAGAAAGAAAACUGCUUGCCUGGAGAGAACACUCUAUUUACAGAGACUCUCUGAGGGGAUUGUGACAGCCAUGGGCUGGAUUUACGGGUGAGCUGCUCUCACCAGGUUACAUCUUACACUGUAGGCCAAUAAAAUUCACUGUUCCUGUUAGCUGUCUGGGCUCCCUACACAAAGUGGGACUGUGCCUUUCCCUAGGAGGCAAGGGCUGAGGGCCAGGAUACUGCUGCUCUGCACUGAAGGGCUUGGGAACAUGCAGAGGGAUGCUGUUAUUAGGAAAGAGCACUUCCUGCAGGGCAACUUUUGUUUUCGUUUUCUCUACAUGAGGGGUAUGGAACUGCCCUUGUAUCUGUCCCAGUCCUGGCUGAGGUUGUAAAACAGCAAUUGAGCAUGAAGCUAUCGAGUACAAAGGGUGAAUGUAGGAAUGAAUGUCGGUAGGAAGCUACUAAGUUGUGACUGGCUGCACAGUCACAUACCAUACCUGAAUUUUGUUGAGAUAAGUGGGGUGGCAGAGACUGCAAAGAUCAGCUGGAGUUCAAGUACCUUGUAUUUCAUUUCCAUAAAAUGUGUUGAGGCUUGCCAUGAUCUCAUGUCAAUUUAUAGGUCUAAUUCUUUUCCCUCUUUUCCUUGGAACAUGUUCUUAAGUAUAAUCUGACAAAUCUUCUAACCUUAAAUAAAUCCCAUUCAUCUCCACCUGUACUGCUUUGUUCAUGAUAAGUUUAGUCUAGAAAUUCAUUGAAUUUGAGUACUUUUUAAAAAAAAUUAUUUAUUUAUUUGAAAGGCAGAGUUACAGAGAGAGAAAGAGAGAGAGAGAGAGAAAGAUCUUUCAUCCGCUGGUUCACUCUUCAGAUGGCUACAAUGGCUGGAGCUGUACCAAUCUACAGCCAGGAGCCAAGAGCUUCUUCCAGGUCUCCCAUGUGGGUGCAGGGGCCCAAGCACUUGAGCCACCUACUACUGCUUUCCUAGGCCAUGGCAGAGAGGGGGAUUGGAAGUGGAGCAGUCAGGACUCAAACCAGCACCCAUAUGAGAUGCCGGCACUUCAGGCAAGGGCUUUAACCCACUGCACCACAAUGCCAGCCCUGAAUUUGAAUACUUCUUUUAAGAUAUAGAUCAAAAUCUAACUGACUUAGGCGACCCUAUAAGUCAUAUACAUUUAUCAUUUAUCGCAAUUAUAAAUGUGUUUUAUGCCCACUACUCAAAUUUAAUUACUUCAUAGAUUAUGUAGUGCCUGAUAUCUGAGCAAAGAUAUAUACUUUUUUUUUCCAACAUCUCAUGAUCUUUAGUGAAAUUGAAACCUAUUAAAUUCACAUAAAUUUCUUUUUGAUUGAAAUUUCCAGGCCGGCGCCGCGGCUCACUAGGCUAAUCCUCCGCCUUGCGGCGCCGGCACACCAGGUUCUAGUCCCCGUCGGGGCACUGGAUUUGGUCCCAGUUGCCCCUCUUCCAGGCCAGCUCUCUGCUGUGGCCCGGGAGUGCAGUGGAGGAUGGCCCAAGUCCUUGGGCCCUGCACCCCAUGGGAGGCCAGGAUAACUACCUGGCUCCUGCCAUCGGAUCAGCGCAGUGCACCGGCCGCAGCGUGCUGGCCAUGGCGGCCAUUGGAGGGUGAACCUACAGCAAAAGGAAGACCUUUC